Molecule: ribosomal RNA, 785 nt
Filed under: uncultured Glomus
Lineage: Eukaryota; Fungi; Glomeromycota; Glomeromycetes; Glomerales; Glomeraceae
Description: SSU rRNA
Rfam family: Eukaryotic small subunit ribosomal RNA
Source: RNAcentral
AUGGUAGGAUAGAGGCCUACCAUGGUGGUAACGGGUAACGGGGUGUUAGGGCACGACACCGGAGAGGGAGCCUGAGAAACGGCUACCACAUCCAAGGAUGGCAGCAGGCGCGCAAAUUACCCAAUCCCGACACGGGGAGGUAGUGACAAUAAAUAACAAUACGGGGUUCUUUAGGAUCUCGUAAUUGGAAUGAGUACAAUUUAAAUCUCUUAACGAGGAACAAUUGGAGGGCAAGUCUGGUGCCAGCAGCCGCGGUAAUUCCAGCUCCAAUAGCGUAUAUNAAAGUUGUUGCAGUUAAAAAGCUCGUAGUUGAAUUUCGGGGUCAGUAGGUCGGUCGUGCCACUGGUAUGAACUGGUUUUACUGAUUCCUCCCUCUUGAAGAACUGUAAUGCCAUUAAUUUGGUGUUGCAGGGAAUCAGGACUGUUACUUUGAAAAAAUUAGAGUGUUUAAAGCAGGCUUUAGCUUGGAUACAUUAGCAUGGAAUAAUGAAAUAGGACGUUUGAUCCUAUUUUGUUGGUUUCUAGGAUUGACGUAAUGAUUAAUAGGGAUAGUUGGGGGCAUUAGUAUUCAAUUGUCAGAGGUGAAAUUCUUGGAUUUAUUGAAGACUAACUACUGCGAAAGCAUUUGCCAAGGAUGUUUUCAUUAAUCAAGAACGAAAGUUAGGGGAUCGAAGACGAUCAGAUACCGUCGUAGUCUUAACCAUAAACUAUGCCGACUAGGGAUCGGAUGAUGUUAAUUUUUUAAUGACUCAUUCGGCGCCUUACGGGAAACCAAAGUGUUUGGG